This 394-nucleotide unclassified non-coding RNA is filed under the name uncultured Amphinema. Its description in RNAcentral is "sequence contains ITS2". The stretch from base 1 to 155 matches the Rfam family "5.8S ribosomal RNA". The record is from RNAcentral. Lineage: Eukaryota; Fungi; Basidiomycota; Agaricomycetes; Atheliales; Atheliaceae.
AACUUGUGACAACGGGUCACUUGGCUCUCGCAUCGAUUAAGAACGCAGCGAAAUGCGAUAAGUAAUGUGAAUUGCAGAUUUUCAGUGAAUCAUCGAAUCUUUGAACGCACCUUGCGCUCCUUGGUAUUCCGAGGAGCAUGCCUGUUUGAGUGUCAUUAAAUUCUCAACCCCACCGAUUUGCUUCGGGGGGAUUGGACUUGGAGCGUGCUGGCGAAGGUCGGCUCCUCUUUAAAUGCAUCAGUGGAGAGAAACUCGCCCCAGUGUGAUAAUCCUGUUGCGCUGUGGUGGGUGAAAGUCUGCUUCCAACCGUCCUCCGGGACAUACACCAUCUCAUUUUGACCUCAAAUCAGGUAGGACUACCCGCUGAACUUAAGCAUAUCAAUAAGCGGAGGCU